GAUGAACGCUGGCGGCGUGCCUAAUACAUGCAAGUCGAGCGAACGGACGAGAAGCUUGCUUUUCUGAUGUUAGCGGCGGACGGGUGAGUAACACGUGGAUAACCUACCUAUAAGACUGGGAUAACUUCGGGAAACCGGAGCUAAUACCGGAUAAUAUUUUGAACCGCAUGGUUCAAAAGUGAAAGACGGUCUUGCUGUCACUUAUAGAUGGAUCCGCGCUGCAUUAGCUAGUUGGUAAGGUAACGGCAUACCAAGGCAACGAUGCAUAGCCGACCUGAGAGGGUGAUCGGCCACACUGGAACUGAGACACGGUCCAGACUCCUACGGGAGGCAGCAGUAGGGAAUCUUCCGCAAUGGGCGAAAGCCUGACGGAGCAACGCCGCGUGAGUGAUGAAGGUCUUCGGAUCGUAAAACUCUGUUAUUAGGGAAGAACAUAUGUGUAAGUAACUGUGCACAUCUUGACGGUACCUAAUCAGAAAGCCACGGCUAACUACGUG
This 497-nucleotide ribosomal RNA is filed under the name uncultured bacterium. RNAcentral describes it as "partial 16S ribosomal RNA". It matches the Rfam family "Bacterial small subunit ribosomal RNA", at positions 28 to 507 of the family's 1533-position model. The record is from RNAcentral.